CUCUCCCCGUCUUUCCUAUUCCCUAUAGAUAAACACGACAGCAAUCUCUAUCACUUUCAACGACUUGUGCUACAUUGACGCCGGAAGAAGUCGCACGUACCCAGAAGACGAUAGUGGUGAACCAAGUAGACAUUUCAAAUGGAACUAGUUCUAGUGGUAGUUCUUUUUACGUGCAAGAUUUCAUUUGUCCAUCCAUCGUGUCCCGAAAAUGAAGAACCAAGUUUCUGCCAUAGUAACGAUUUUAUUCCGCAACCCUAUUGCCAUGGCGUCGAGCAACAAGAAAAGUGGAAUUGCAAGAAGAGAAGUGAUGCAAGGUGCGGUUGUAGUGGCUCUCUCCACAGGAGAAUGGAUGGAGAAUGCGUACCGAAGGACC
Dermacentor silvarum is the source of this 373-nucleotide long non-coding RNA. RefSeq lists it as uncharacterized. NCBI's taxonomy places the organism in Eukaryota, Metazoa, Arthropoda, Arachnida, Ixodida, Ixodidae. The record is from RefSeq and is a predicted model, not a curated record. The transcript is spliced from 3 exons.